RNAcentral lists this ribosomal RNA (253 nucleotides) under uncultured bacterium. RNAcentral's name for it is "partial 16S ribosomal RNA". It matches the Rfam family "Bacterial small subunit ribosomal RNA", at positions 524 to 776 of the family's 1533-position model. The record is from RNAcentral.
UACAGAGGCCUCGAGCGUUGUUCGGAAUUACUGGGCGUAAAGGGAAUGUAGGUGGUGACGUAAGUCAGAUGUGAAAGCCCUGGGCUUAACCCGGGAAGUGCAUUUGAUACUGCGUCGCUCGAGUACGAGAGAGGAAAGCGGAAUUUCCAGUGUAGGAGUGAAAUCCGUAGAUAUUGGAAGGAAUACCGAUGGCGAAGGCAGCUUUCUGGCUCGUAACUGACACUGAGAUUCGAAAGCGUGGGUAGCGAACAGG